Oncorhynchus tshawytscha (Chinook salmon) is the source of this 4547-nucleotide long non-coding RNA. Lineage: Eukaryota; Metazoa; Chordata; Actinopteri; Salmoniformes; Salmonidae. The record is from Ensembl.
AUGGUUAUAUUUAGUCCUCUUGUGACCAGGAGUCAGGCAUUCCUGAUAUGGGACGGCAGAAUUCCUAUCACACAACACAUACAGACACACAACACACACACAUUCUGUCUGAGAGGGUUCUCUGAGCUGUUGGGCCUGGUAAGGGGGCAGGUGAUUCAGGAUUAUCGUCCCAGGAUUCUUGGAAGCAGAAGGGGCAUGGGCUAUUGGGGGUCUUUUAGACAAGACUAGACUUACAGUUAAAUAUUAGACAUUCAAUUCAAUGUAUGGAAACAAACCGAUGGCAGUAACAUUGUAAUGUGUGUGUGUGUGUGUGUGUGCGUGCGUGUGCGUGCGUGUGCGUGUGUGUGUGUGUGUGUGUGUGUGCGUGCCUCCUCCCAGGGUUCAACUCCAACAUCAACCUACCAGGUAGAGAGGAGCACCCAGGCUCCACCCCCACCUCCUCGUCUCCGCAGCUACAGGACAAGAACGCCAACAACCACACACCCCCCUCCCCAAGCCCCACUCCCAUUGAGAACGGCAACCGGCUGUCCAACGGGUCAAUGGAAGAUGAGGGUCACACAAAGUCAAACUCUUCCAGCUCAUCAUCUCUGCACAGGCAUAUGGACAGCCAUCACACUCAGAGGGGUCAUCUCAACUUCUCGCCCUUCGGUGCGGGGGCUGCACUCUAAGGCAGAGUGGGCGCGGGAGCACCCCUCAUAUUAGGGACGGGGCGAUCCAGCGUCUACGUGGAUGUGGGGGGGACGAGGCCGCCACCCUGGGGGAGUUGCUCCGCUGGCGCAGGGCGCUGUGUGAGGGGCGGGCCGACUGGAGGCACCAACGGGACGUCAACGGAACACCACAAACCCCACCCACCACACUGGUCAGGGCUAAUAGGAAGUCUUCUCCAUAGUGGGAGGAUGUCCAACCUGGGAUAUGCCCACUUUCCAUGUCUCACACUGCCUUUCUUGUCUGCCUCCUGCCACGCCCUCCUGCCCAUGUCUGCCACCCCAUUCGGCAAAGGACAGGUCUGAGAGAGAGGCAUUUCAUUGGCUAGGACUGCCCAACCCACAAGAGCAUUAACAGAUAAAGGAGGGAGAAAGAAAAUAGAGCAGCAAUCAGGAUCCAUUUUAUCUUAUCUCUCUCUCUCUCUCUCUCUCUCUCUCUCUCUCUCUCUCUCUCUCUCUCUCUCUAACAAGCUGGAUGUAGGCUAACAGAGGAGAGGACUGUACAUACAAUAGUUGCUAUGUGGAAUGAGGUUUGCCUAUGUGUUUUCUGUCUGUAGUAAAUAUGGUGCACGUUCUCUCUCUAUCAAAGCCUACCAUGCAGUUACUGCUUACGCAACAUCUCCCAGCCCAAACACCAAACCCCAAAACAUGGUGCUGAUGUCACUCUGUGUGAUGUUAUAUGUGUCAGGUGUGUGAUGCGCACUAGGAUGAAGCUGCCCCGGCCUAGACGCUGAUCUAGGGUCUGUUUUUGUCUUUACCCUCUGAUGCUGAUGGGGAAGGUAAGUUGAUCCUAGAUCUGUGCCUAUGGGCACAACAGAACAUGUGUGUACCCUUCCCUCCAGACAUGUCUGAAGUUUACAAGCGAGCCAAGGCCUUUAAACAUCUCCUGUGUUAAACCUCACUGCUCUGGCUUACAGACCAGUUAUCAUCUCUAGGACCAGGAGGUUUUCCUGACCAUGUGAUCUGACCAGGGAAAACUCCUGUCUCUAGUCUUCUGGACUCCUUCAGGUAUCAGCUACCGCUUUAGCCUCACGCUACAAGGUGCUUUAGGUGCUUCUGUAACCCUGGCAACAAUAGCUCAGAGUUCAGGGGUCAGGGAAACCUCAGCGAUAUCCCAUGGUGCACUUGUUUCAUCCCCAGCUAGCCAACAGCCUUUCGCUUUAGCGUAAAAAAAAAACACGGGCAGAUAUUACUGACUAGGCAAGACAAUAGCAGAGCUGUAUUUUACAACGAUGGCCAUAGUAGCUAGUUCAUGUAGCUAGAUCACCUGUGAUCAGAUUGUAUCAAUGUCCUGUAAGGUUUUUACUGGGCUUAGUGCCAUACAAAAGGGACUCUAGGCCAGUCAACCUCAGCUAUGGCUGAUGUAUUUUACUGAUGUGUUUGUGUAGAGCACACAAACAGACUGAAUAAAGAACAGUGUAGAUGACCAACGCACAACUAUCUGUCGCAGUCUCUCAAUUAACUACUUAUCUAGACUUAUUCUACAAACAUCUCAGAAAAAUAAGCUCUAAACCACAAUGGUACUUUCUUCAUAUUAGCGUCCCAUUUGAUAUGUUCUAUCUUGUGUAAAUCAAUGUUAGGAGCCUGUACACUUUUCUGUACAUUUCAAGGAUGCAACUGGAGCACAACAGAGUUCUCAUGUAAAGCUACCCCAUCCUCCUCAAUCACCUUCUUUAUUUCCCUCCCAAACCCUGCAACAUCCCAACACCCCCUCCAAGAUACUGUAGGGGUCAGAGGGCAUUGCCAGGGUAACCUCCCUGUAAAUAAUGGCCUAUGUUUAAUUGUCAAAUGUUUUAAUUUACUAUAUCAGAAUAGCACAGAAAUGGGAAGAUGGAAAGGGAUUUGGAGAAUUGUCUAUAUGGCAGAUGGAGAAUUAUAUGAUUGUCUUGGGUUUAAUGCAAUGACUGAGGCAAAGAGAAGAGGUUUAUUUUAUAAUGUGAACACCUUUUUUGCGGAAUGAUUGUCUACUACUAUGAAACUUCUUUAUACUGUAUUUAUUUAGUUUGUUUGUUUGUUUCCCUGCGACACCAUUGUAAGACAAUAUUACAGUGGCGAAAGACUGAGGUUUCCAUCAUUUGUCUGAUGGUUGUUUGGAUGAUAAAUUGCACAAUAUUGAUGUUUGGUGGGGUUUCCACAUCGUAAAGGAGUAGCUAGAAGUUGCCCCUAACCACUGAUAUAGGAUCAGAUAUUUUAACAUCCCCCUAAUGGUUACGGUUAUGAUUGGGGAGGGUAAUCUGACCAUGGUAAAUUGGAUGGGUGUGCCUCUGCAAGCCGUUGGUUCUUAGAAGAUUGGUUUGACUGUAAAAGCCAGGAAGUACCAAUAGUUCUGAUUGAUUUCUCAUUUACACUGAUCACCCUUCAACAGUCUGAUUGAUCUUGUAUUAGGAAUUAGCAGCGCCAUCACUAGCGCGUCCUUGGUUGUUGAUUGAGCCGUGUGUGCGUGUGAGUGUGUAUGUGAUAAGAAACACUACAUUUUCUAUAGAAAUUGGGCGAAGAUCACAUCAAACAUUGACUAGGAGUGAGCCACAUAACCAGACCUUCUGAACACCAAAGCUCUGCUAACGACAAUGGAAUACAGUAUUUCAAAGUGAUAGUGUUAAGAUACCAUGUCUAUAUGUGAUUGGACGAUGCUUUAGGAUUGGAACGGAGGUGAAACAACACGUCUGGAUAGAACAAUACAGUUGGUCAUAUUGUAGUUCUACAUCAUGUACAUAUGACUAUUGGACAGAGCUGCCACAGUGCACACAGUAUACACUACUUACAUUGAGACAGUACCAGUCAAUACCAGUAUCCUACACACAAAAUAAAUCACUUCAUAUAGGUAGGUGUACCACUCCUACUCCGAUGUGCUGAGGUCCACCACUAAAGAGGGUUAAGGUUCGUCCUGUUUUGUAUUGUGUCUAUUUAUCCCAUACUACUAUGAAUGAUUUAGUGAAGCAGUGAAAACAUGGAUGAAGAGGUAUGCAUACUUUUUUAAGGCAUUUCAGACAGGAUGUUAGUUCUUUGUCUCUCUGCAUGAUCUGACCACUCAUCAUUUCCUCUUACCCACCGAUGCACGGCAGUUAACGCUUGAUAUUUGAAUAUCAUUUUACCCUUUACACUGUGAAUCACUGCACUGUCUCACACUGCCAUGUCACACUGCCAUUUCACACUGCCAUUUCACACUGCCAUUUCACACUGCCAUGUCACACUGCCAUGUCACACUGCCAUGUCACACUGCCAUUUCACACUGCCAUUUCACACUGCCACUGCCAUGUCACACUGCCAUUUCACACUGCCAUUUCACACUGCCAUCACACUGCCAUUUCACACUGCCAUUUCACACUGCCAUUUCACACUGCCAUUUCACACUGUCAUGUCUCCUAUGCGCUUGUCACCCUACCAUGUUUCCCCUUCCAAAGGAAACCUUAAAAUACAGUAAAAGCUACACACAUAUGUCCCCCAACCCCGAUCCCCAAUGUGUUUUCUGACUUCACAACAGAUCUAAAGAACUAGGUACUGUCAUUUUUCAUUCAUAGUCAGGUCUCCCUCUCUUUGUCAUAAGGUUCCUAGACCAGAUGUCUGGUGCUAAAGCCAGUGCAGAAGGGCAUUUUACUGUUCUCAGUCCAUGUACAGUAUUCCAAUGAUACAUAUUUUAGCACAUAGGUAUAUAUCACAGCCUUGUUUUCAUAGUUGUUGUUUUCUUCCCCUUCUUUUUGACAGACAUACAGUAUAUUUUACCUGCAUACAUUGUGUUUGUGGAAAAUCAGAAUUAUAUAUGUGUUGUUUCAUGUUUUGUUUCCAAUGUUUUAUAAAUACCUGUACAGCAAUAAAGCACAAUUGUGCCCAUUCCCUUGUCCUCUA